UCCAGACUCCUACGGGAGGCAGCAGUGAGGAAUAUUGGUCAAUGGGCGAGAGCCUGAACCAGCCAAGUCGCGUGAGGGAAGACGGUCCUAUGGAUUGUAAACCUCUUUUGCCGGGGAGCAAAAAGCGGUACGUGUACCGCAUCGAGAGUACCCGGAGAAAAAGCAUCGGCUAACUCCGUGCCAGCAGCCGCGGUAAUACGGAGGAUGCGAGCGUUAUCCGGAUUUAUUGGGUUUAAAGGGUGCGCAGGCGGCGAGUUAGGCCAGGGUAAAAAUUUGGGGCCCCACCCCCGGCGAGCCGUUGAAACUGGCUUGCUAGAGUGGGCGAGAAGUAUGCGGAAUGCGCGGUGUAGCGGUGAAAUGCAUAGAUAUCGCGCAGAACUCCGAUUGCGAAGGCAGCAUGCCGGCUCCACACUGACGCUGAGGCACGAAAGCGUGGGUAUCGAACAGGAUUAGAUACCCCUGUA
Molecule: ribosomal RNA, 464 nt
Filed under: uncultured bacterium
Lineage: Bacteria
Description: bacterial SSU rRNA
Rfam family: Bacterial small subunit ribosomal RNA
Source: RNAcentral